UCGAGUCCGCGCAUCGGAAUGAGGAUAAUUUACACCCCUUCUCGAGGAUCCAUUGGAGGGCAAGCCUGGUGCCAGCAGCCGCGGUAAUUCCAGCUCCAAUAGCGUAUAUUAAAGUUGUUGCAGUUAAAAAGCUCGUAGUUGGAUUUGUGGUGUACGGUGUGUUCCGGGCACUUGUUGUCUGAGUAAUCUGCUGUUGCCAUCCUUGGGUGGAACCUGUGUGGCAUUAGGUUGUCGUGCAGGGGAUGCCCAUCAUUUACUGUGAAAAAAUUAGAGUGUUCAAAGCAGGCUUAUGCCGUUGAAUAUAUUAGCAUGGAAUAAUGAGAUAGGACUUUUUUGCUAUUUUGUUGGUUUGCGCAAAGAGGUAAUGAUUAAUAGGGACAGUUGUGGGUAUUCGUAUUCCAUUGUCAGAGGUGAAAUUCUUGGAUUUCUGGAAGACGAACUAAUGCGAAAGCAUUUACCAAGGAUGUUUUCAUUAAUCAAGAACGAAAGUUAGGGGAUCGAAGAUGAUUAGAUACCAUCGUAGUCUUAACCAUAAACUAUGCCGACAAGGGAUUGGCGGGGUUUCGUUAC
This 570-nucleotide ribosomal RNA is filed under the name uncultured diatom. RNAcentral describes it as "SSU rRNA". It matches the Rfam family "Eukaryotic small subunit ribosomal RNA", at positions 496 to 1070 of the family's 1831-position model. Lineage: Eukaryota; Bacillariophyta. The record is from RNAcentral.